AAAAACAAAAGAAGAAGAAUGCUGGGGGUGUACUUCCGGUGGUGGCGGAAGGCCUCGUCAUGGUGAAGUCUUGCUGGGCUGCUGGCUGCAAAAAUCGCUUUGUAAGCGGAGGAUCAGUCACGUUUCAUGUGUUUCCAAAGGAGCCUGUUCUACGCGAGCAGUGGAUCAAAGCAGUCAACAGGAGCAGCUGCACUAGUGCGAAGCCACGGCAGCCAAAUCCGCACGACUAUGUAUGUUCUGAACAUUUUCAGCACUCAGACUUCAUCCUUUCACGUCACGCUUGUCACAAAAGACUCAAGAAAGAUGCAGUGCCAUCGCUCAAGACGGAGACGAACAAACAGAAAGACACUACCAGGACAUCACAAAGGAGCCAGACAGCUUCAGCAGCACCAGAUCCUCCUUGGGAGCCUCGAGCAGUGCCUUCAGCAUCGCUCGCAGAUCUCGUCAGUGUUGACCACCAGUACGCUUGUGACCCUGUAACGAUGAAACACAAAUAUGAUGCAUUAAGAGAGCAACUUGAAAAUGCCAGACAGGAACUCUGUAAUGUUAGGAGUGAAAGAACAGCUAAAAUGUCUCUUGAUGAAGUGAAGGGGAUGCGUGCUGUGCCUGAUGAAGCUAGUGGAAUGCUGGAGGCAUGCGAAGAUACACCGAUUAAUUUAUGUAUCGAGUCAGCAAACGAAUACACUCAGGAAGUGAAAGUUUGCAUCAGCAGUCUUUCUGUGGACCCAAGGCACGCUUGUGUUGGAGAGAGAAAUUAAACCUCCCGCGCCUGUCAACACAAUUGAAGAAGACAGAUACAGGAACUACACUGAGGAGUUCUAACAGGCCUUUGACAGAGUGAAGAAGAUGACAGUGAAAUCGCUGCGGUGUCCUGACAGGCCACACUGAUGGCUGCUGGUGCAAAGCUGUUUUUGUAACGUUUGGUUUUACAAGCUGGUACCCUGAACCUCCGACCUGAAGGGUUUUUGAGUACCAUACACGGUGCGUGCAUGUUUGUGAUUCACCUAACGGAGCACAUUCACACUUGAAAGUGAACUGGCUUUUGCUUGUAUGAUGAUGUGUUGUUUUGAGAUGCAUUUGUCACUCAUUUUUCUACUUUUCUGGUGUCUUACUUAUGAGCUGUCCCAUGAUUGCUGAGGGUGAGACACUGCUAAGACUGAAUGCAUCCAGAUCCAGACUGUGGAGACUCAAACCCUUUCUCUGUGUCAAUGUGGAGACUUUAGGAAGAGCAGGGAGUUGAAAGAUGACUUCCAUCCAGCCAGCUCUGUGACUACAGCUUCUGAAGAUGAGUGCACCAAAGGGUCUUUGGAAACAGGUGCAUAUGAACUGCUGCUGAGGAGCAGUGGACAAAGAGAAUAAUUCUCCAGCAUCAACUGAACAUUUUCUAAGUACUGUGCAAAAGGGAUCCCAAGAAUAUUUUGGACCUGGUCAUCACGCCACCCCGCCUGGUAUUAAUUCUUAUUUCUGUGUGGUUAAUCCAUACACAUUUUUCUUUAUGAAUAAUCACGUUACAGACAUAAAAAAUACACCGCUUCAUUUCUGAUAUACCAAGGUGAUGUGUGCAAAUUAAAUGUUCAUCUGUCCAGCAGUCUAAAUAGAUACUUUUUACAAAGAGAAAGAAAGAAACCAUCAUUUGACAAGAUGAAAACAUCAAGAUGAAAGCUGACAAAUUUGUUUAAACCUUUUCAUAAUUUCUGCUCGAGCUUUAAUCGCGUGUUAUUUCCACGUCACCUGGGAUCAGCCUUAACUUUAUUACUGAUGGAGGAGCAAACACAAGUCUAUUGUGGAAGGUCCUACAACAACGACUUUAAAGACGUGGAAACACACCAAGGAUUUGUUGAAAAAACUGUAACAUGCAUGGAUGGUGUUGUAAUUAUUACAUUUUAAUCUGGUAUUUAUUACAUUUUAAAUGGGUAUACAUGUACAUAUUUGCCAUUGGACUAAGCGGUUGAAGAUGGAGUGUGUACAUAUUUGGUUCAUAAGUAUUUAGAUUGUGACUAUUAUUAUUUUGCCUCUGCAUCAACACAAUGGAGCUAAAAUGAAAAGAUGUGCUGUCCGAUUUAAUUCAAGAGGUUUAACAAUGGAAUGGCAGCUAUUUUUAUACGUACUGUGCUCUAGCUCAUAAGUAAUUAGAAAUUCCAGGAGUAUUUUUUAUCACAUUCAUAGCCAGUUUUUGUUAGACAUGUCAGGGCGUGGAUACAUGAACAUUUACGAGUCCUUGAAUAUGUCUUAGACUUUAUUUACAUCAAUCAAUAAAUACUAGCUAUGGUAAA
Thalassophryne amazonica is the source of this 2273-nucleotide RNA transcript. It is a transcript of the gene named THAP domain-containing protein 1-like, with no coding region annotated. NCBI's taxonomy places the organism in Eukaryota, Metazoa, Chordata, Actinopteri, Batrachoidiformes, Batrachoididae. The transcript has 7 exons. The record is from RefSeq and is a predicted model, not a curated record.